AUUCCAGCUCCAAUAGCGUAUAUUAAAGUUGUUGCAGUUAAAAAGCUCGUAGUUGGAUUUCUGCCAGGGUGCCAAUGUCCGCCGAAGUGCGUGCGCAGCGGCGCCCUCGCAUCCUUCUGUUAACGCCUCUCGGCAUUUACUUGCCGGUGGUGGGCUCAGAUAAUUUACCUUGAGAAAAUUAGAGUGUUUCAGGCAGGCUAGGCCGGAAUACAUUAGCAUGGAAUAAUGGAAUAGGACUACGGUCUCGUUGUUGGUUUGAGGGACUGGAGUAAUGAUUAAUAGGGAUAGUUGGGGGUAUUCGUAUUCAAUUGUCAGAGGUGAAAUUCUUGGAUUUAUGGAAGACGAACUACUGCGAAAGCAUUUACCAAGGAUGUUUUCAUUG
RNAcentral lists this ribosomal RNA (382 nucleotides) under Spirotrichea sp. RNAcentral describes it as "partial small subunit ribosomal RNA". It matches the Rfam family "Eukaryotic small subunit ribosomal RNA", at positions 582 to 975 of the family's 1831-position model. The record is from RNAcentral. Lineage: Eukaryota; Ciliophora; Spirotrichea.